This 512-nucleotide long non-coding RNA is filed under the name Bos taurus (domestic cattle). RNAcentral describes it as "long non-coding RNA NONBTAT015759". The record is from RNAcentral. Lineage: Eukaryota; Metazoa; Chordata; Mammalia; Artiodactyla; Bovidae.
AGAGAAGAGAGCUUUAUAGCUUCUGCGCCCUAGCAGGGGCCUAAGGUCAAUGCCAUGGAUGGGAAGAGAUUGGGGCGGGCGGGGGGGUAGGUGGGACUUUCCUUAAUUCUAUCUUCAUGUCCAGUGAGCAGUGCUGUGUCCUUCCCUUGUAGCAUUUGGGAAUGAUUUACUGGAAUUACAAAACCUAUUUUCCUUUUAAAUUUCAGCUUUGGCUCUGGCUGCUUUUUAGAAUAAUGCAAGAUAAAAACCACAUCUGAGGGCUAAAAAAAAAAUGAAGAGGGAAUAGGAGACUUGAUAUUUAAGCAGCUUGAAUGGUUUCUUUUCUUUUCUUUAUUUUUAAAGAAAUGCACUUGCCUAUGAUACUGUCUCUCCAGUGAAAUGAUUACUCCUCCAUUACUCUAUUGAUACAAUAUUGUGCAUGCUAGUGUUGUAUUUCUAUACAGUAGCUUGAAAUUUAUUAACUUAUACUGUAGGUGUUAUGUAUUCCUAUGACAAAAAAAAAUUAAGUCUUC